GACGAAGGGGGCUAGCGUUGUUCGGAAUUACUGGGCGUAAAGCGCGUGUAGGCGGUUGCCAUAGUCAGGUGUGAAAGCCUUGAGCUCAACUCAAGAAAUGCACUUGAUACUGGGCGACUAGAGGACCGGAGAGGAUAGUGGAAUUCCCAGUGUAGUGGUGAAAUACGUAGAGAUUGGGAAGAACACCAGUGGCGAAGGCGACUUACUGGACACAUAUUGACGCUGAGGUGCGAAAGCGUGGGGAGCAAACAGG
Molecule: ribosomal RNA, 253 nt
Filed under: uncultured bacterium
Lineage: Bacteria
Description: partial 16S ribosomal RNA
Rfam family: Bacterial small subunit ribosomal RNA
Source: RNAcentral